This 508-nucleotide ribosomal RNA is filed under the name Klebsiella pneumoniae. Its description in RNAcentral is "bacterial SSU rRNA". It matches the Rfam family "Bacterial small subunit ribosomal RNA", at positions 632 to 1140 of the family's 1533-position model. Lineage: Bacteria; Pseudomonadati; Pseudomonadota; Gammaproteobacteria; Enterobacterales; Enterobacteriaceae. The record is from RNAcentral.
ACUGGCAGGCUAGAGUCUUGUAGAGGGGGGUAGAAUUCCAGGUGUAGCGGUGAAAUGCGUAGAGAUCUGGAGGAAUACCGGUGGCGAAGGCGGCCCCCUGGACAAAGACUGACGCUCAGGUGCGAAAGCGUGGGGAGCAAACAGGAUUAGAUACCCUGGUAGUCCACGCCGUAAACGAUGUCGAUUUGGAGGUUGUGCCCUUGAGGCGUGGCUUCCGGAGCUAACGCGUUAAAUCGACCGCCUGGGGAGUACGGCCGCAAGGUUAAAACUCAAAUGAAUUGACGGGGGCCCGCACAAGCGGUGGAGCAUGUGGUUUAAUUCGAUGCAACGCGAAGAACCUUACCUGGUCUUGACAUCCACAGAACUUUCCAGAGAUGGAUUGGUGCCUUCGGGAACUGUGAGACAGGUGCUGCAUGGCUGUCGUCAGCUCGUGUUGUGAAAUGUUGGGUUAAGUCCCGCAACGAGCGCAACCCUUAUCCUUUGUUGCCAGCGGUUCGGCCGGGAACUC